This 65-nucleotide small nucleolar RNA is filed under the name Gossypium hirsutum (cotton). Its description in RNAcentral is "Small nucleolar RNA snoR101". It matches the Rfam family "Small nucleolar RNA snoR101". The record is from Rfam by way of RNAcentral. Lineage: Eukaryota; Viridiplantae; Streptophyta; Magnoliopsida; Malvales; Malvaceae.
UGGUUACACUUGAUCUCUGAACUUCAGGUAAGUUACAUCUGUUGAGAAGCUUAUGUGCUGAUGCU